UGCAGUCGAGCGGAUGAAGGGAGCUUGCUCCUGGAUUCAGCGGCGGACGGGUGAGUAAUGCCUAGGAAUCUGCCUGGUAGUGGGGGAUAACGUCCGGAAACGGGCGCUAAUACCGCAUACGUCCUGAGGGAGAAAGUGGGGGAUCUUCGGACCUCACGCUAUCAGAUGAGCCUAGGUCGGAUUAGCUAGUUGGUGGGGUAAAGGCCUACCAAGGCGACGAUCCGUAACUGGUCUGAGAGGAUGAUCAGUCACACUGGAACUGAGACACGGUCCAGACUCCUACGGGAGGCAGCAGUGGGGAAUAUUGGACAAUGGGCGAAAGCCUGAUCCAGCCAUGCCGCGUGUGUGAAGAAGGUCUUCGGAUUGUAAAGCACUUUAAGUUGGGAGGAAGGGCAGUAAGUUAAUACCUUGCUGUUUUGACGUUACCAACAGAAUAAGCACCGGCUAACUUCGUGCCAGCAGCCGCGGUAAUACGAAGGGUGCAAGCGUUAAUCGGAUUUACUGGGCGUAAAGCGCGCGUAGGUGGUUCAGCAAGUUGGAUGUGAAAUCCCCGGGCUCAACCUGGGAACUGCAUCCAAAACUACUGAGCUAGAGUACGGUAGAGGGUGGUGGAAUUUCCUGUGUAGCG
This 628-nucleotide ribosomal RNA is filed under the name Pseudomonas sp. Horo_24. RNAcentral describes it as "bacterial SSU rRNA". It matches the Rfam family "Bacterial small subunit ribosomal RNA", at positions 56 to 680 of the family's 1533-position model. The record is from RNAcentral. Lineage: Bacteria; Pseudomonadati; Pseudomonadota; Gammaproteobacteria; Pseudomonadales; Pseudomonadaceae. RNAcentral also lists the same sequence under 1 other name.